This 803-nucleotide long non-coding RNA is filed under the name Malus domestica (apple). Its description in RNAcentral is "long non-coding RNA (MDOM_LNC002912)". The record is from RNAcentral. Lineage: Eukaryota; Viridiplantae; Streptophyta; Magnoliopsida; Rosales; Rosaceae.
GGGAAUGCAAAUUCAUAAAUAAUUCAACUGAAAUAUUAAGCAAUCAUGGUUAGGCUACAUCAUAGCCCUAGCAAAAUGAAAUUAAUUCCAAAACAUAAUCGAAAGUGGUACUAAAUCCUUAAGAAAUAAGAAGAAAUUUAGUUUAGAAAAAACUUGAAAAAUCCCUUGCUUUGUUGCACCUCUCGUCUGCCUUCUUCCCUUAGUCCCUGUUUUUUUUUUCUUGCCUCUUCCAAUCAUGACCAGGUUGCCUCUUUGAUUCCUCCAAUCAGCUGUUUCUUUUUUGUAACCGUCGAGACGUUAACGCCCAUUUAUUGAUUAAAAAAAUAGCAGAUAAGAAGCGGAAAAGAAUUGAAUUCUUCACCAGCCACUUCGUACACUCAAGCACCCAUGUUGCCUCUUUUCACUCUCCGCUUGAUUGGUAACUGAUAUUUCAUCAUCCAAUUCCACUUCCAAUAAAUCUUGAACUAGCCAAACUGCCCACUGCAAGUGAACGGAAUGGGCAGCCAAAAUGUGAAAACUGAAUAUGCCCACACCAUUCGUCCACCGAUAACCCACAAACAAGAGAUUGAAAUAGAAAUUCGGUGUGUCGGUUCUGAUCUACUCAUUUCAUUCUCUCUUCCUCUUCUGCCAUGGUGUGUCGGUUGUAAGUCUAGGAAAAUGAGAUAAAAUAAUGCAAAUUCUUCUUUCUUUUGUGGGUUCGAGUUCAAGAAAAACCAGCCUGGUAGUCACGUGCAUAAAUUUGUUGCACUAAUAGGUUGACAAGUCAACUUCCUUUGCUUGCAAAAGGAUAGAAAUGCUGCUCC